RNAcentral lists this unclassified non-coding RNA (647 nucleotides) under Hevea brasiliensis (rubber tree). The record is from RNAcentral. Lineage: Eukaryota; Viridiplantae; Streptophyta; Magnoliopsida; Malpighiales; Euphorbiaceae.
AGAGAGAGAGAGAGAGAGAAACUUCAGCCUCACUGCUCCAUUGAGCCAAUAAUAAUGAGAUCAUGCUGUAAUUUUGUUGGACAAGGCAACAUCCAAAGCUAAUCAACACGGAAAUUGAUGAAUUGACAAGAGAGGUAAUGAGGUAUACAUAUCUGGCUAGCGGUUGGAAUGUUGAGUCAGUGGCCAUCAAUUGUGAAUUGUUAAUAAGAAAAUAACUCAUUCCUUGUGACAACCAAAUAGUAGGAGUUGAAAUGACAGUCCACCUAAUUUCUUAUCCUGUGUGUAUUCUCCAUAACCAUCGCACAAUCGUGUCUAACCAAUUUCAAAAUCUAUUAUAAAAGCUCUUCUUCUUUUUGCCACCCCAAUGGAAACACAAGUCCUCAGAAAACUUCAAAACCCAGUAAAUAAAAUUUUGUAUUUGCUUCUUGCUAUUUGAUCAUUAUUGUCCAUAUUUUCAAGCUUUAGCAUCAAGCAUCCCAAAAUUAAUGCAGUACUAGUUUAACCCAGUAAAUAAGAUAAAAAUGUACUUUGAAAGAGAAAUUUCUUUGUAAAUGCUUGAUAAUUAUUUGAUAUGAAAAAGGACUCAAACAUCAUAUACCAAUUGACAAUGUUUUUAAGGAAAAAUCGUAAACAGUAAAAUAACUCAC